CCUACGGGAGGCAGCAGUGGGGAAUUUUGGACAAUGGGCGAAAGCCUGAUCCAGCAAUGCCGCGUGUGUGAAGAAGGCCUUCGGGUUGUAAAGCACUUUUGGCGGGAACGAAACGGUGUUGGUUAAUAUCCGACGCUAAUGACGGUACCCGCAGAAUAAGCACCGGCUAACUACGUGCCAGCAGCCGCGGUAAUACGUAGGGUGCAAGCGUUAAUCGGAAUUACUGGGCGUAAAGCGUGCGCAGGCGGUUAUGCAAGUCAGAUGUGAAAUCCCCGGGCUUAACCUGGGCACUGCAUUUGUGACUGCAUGGCUAGAAUCUGGCAGAGGGGGGUAGAAUUCCACGUGUAGCAGUGAAAUGCGUAGAGAUGUGGAGGAACACCGAUGGCGAAGGCAGCCCCCUGGGCUAAGACUGACGCUCAUGCACGAAA
RNAcentral lists this ribosomal RNA (428 nucleotides) under uncultured bacterium. Its description in RNAcentral is "bacterial SSU rRNA". It matches the Rfam family "Bacterial small subunit ribosomal RNA", at positions 338 to 758 of the family's 1533-position model. The record is from RNAcentral.